RNAcentral lists this transfer RNA (89 nucleotides) under Mesorhizobium qingshengii. RNAcentral describes it as "tRNA-OTHER". The record is from RNAcentral. Lineage: Bacteria; Pseudomonadati; Pseudomonadota; Alphaproteobacteria; Hyphomicrobiales; Phyllobacteriaceae.
CGCGCGGCCGAUUUUGUAACGUGUUGAUUUCUUUGAAUUAUUGACGAACUUUUAAUCAGUAGGUCAUGGGUUCGAAUCCCAUCGCGCUC